UUAAAAGACCUUCUUUGGAGGUAUGCUUAAGGAGGGGCUUGCGACACAUUAGUUAGUUGGCAGGGUAAAGGCCUACCAAGACUAUGAUGUGUAGCUGGACUGAGAGGUUGAACAGCCACAUUGGGACUGAGACACGGCCCAAACUCCUACGGGAGGCAGCAGUAGGGAAUUUUCGGCAAUGGAGGAAACUCUGACCGAGCAACGCCGCGUGAACGAUGAAGUACCUCGGUAUGUAAAGUUCUUUUAUUAAGGAAGAAAAAAGAGUGGAAAAACUCCCUUGACGGUACUUAAUGAAUAAGCCCCGGCUAAUUAUGUGCCAGCAGCCGCGGUAAUACAUAAAGGGCGAGCGUUAUCCGGAAUUAUUGGGCGUAAAGGGUGCGUAGGCGGUUUAAUAAGUCUAUAGUUUAAUUUCAGUGCUUAACGCUGUUGUGCUAUAGAAACUGUUUUACUAGAGUGAGAUAGAGGCAAGCGGAAUUCCAUGUGUAGCGGUAAAAUGCGUAAAUAUAUGGAGGAACACCAGAGGCGUAGGCGGCUUGCUGGGUCUUUACUGACGCUGAGGCACGAAAGCGUGGGGAGCAAACAGGAUUAGAUACCCUGGUAGUCCACGCCGUAAACGAUGAGUACUAAGUGUCGGGUAAAACCGGUACUGAAGUUAACACAUUAAGUACUCCGCCUGAGUAGUACGUACGCAAGUAUGAAACUUAAAGGAAUUGACGGGACUCCGCACAAGCGGUGGAUCAUGUUGUUUAAUUCGAAGAUACACGAAAAACCUUACCAGGUCUUGACAUUUUCUUGCGAAGUUAUAGAAAUAUAAUGGAGGUUAUCAGGAAAACAGGUGGUGCAUGGUUGUCGUCAGCUCGUGUCGUGAGAUGUUAGGUUAAGUCCUAAAACGAGCGCAACCCUUGUCGUUAAUUGCCAGCAUGUAAUGAUGGGGACUUUAACGAGACUGCCAAUGAAAAAUUGGAGGAAGGUGGGGAUUACGUCAAAUCAUCAUGCCCCUUAUGAUCUGGGCUACAAACGUGAUACAAUGGUUGAUACAAAGAGUAGCUGAAACGCGAGUUCUUAGCCAAUCUCACAAAAUCAAUCUCAGUUCGGAUUGAAGUCUGCAACUCGACUUCAUGAAGUUGGAAUCGCUAGUAAUCGCGAAU
RNAcentral lists this ribosomal RNA (1148 nucleotides) under Candidatus Phytoplasma pruni. RNAcentral's name for it is "bacterial SSU rRNA". It matches the Rfam family "Bacterial small subunit ribosomal RNA", at positions 201 to 1349 of the family's 1533-position model. The record is from RNAcentral. Lineage: Bacteria; Bacillati; Mycoplasmatota; Mollicutes; Acholeplasmatales; Acholeplasmataceae.